GUGGGGAAUUUUGGACAAUGGGGGCAACCCUGAUCCAGCCAUGCCGCGUGCGGGAAGAAGGCCUUCGGGUUGUAAACCGCUUUUGUCAGGGAAGAAAUCCUUUGGGUUAAUACCUCGGAGGGAUGACGGUACCUGAAGAAUAAGCACCGGCUAACUACGUGCCAGCAGCCGCGGUAAUACGUAGGGUGCGAGCGUUAAUCGGAAUUACUGGGCGUAAAGCGUGCGCAGGCGGUUUUGUAAGAUCGAUGUGAAAUCCCCGGGCUCAACCUGGGAACUGCAUUGGUGACUGCAAGGCUGGAGUGCGGCAGAGGGGGAUGGAAUUCCGCGUGUAGCAGUGAAAUGCGUAGAUAUGCGGAGGAACACCGAUGGCGAAGGCAAUCCCCUGGGCCUGCACUAACGCUCAUGCAUGAAAGCGUGGGGAGCAAACAGGAUUAGAUACCCUGGUAGUCC
This 450-nucleotide ribosomal RNA is filed under the name uncultured bacterium. Its description in RNAcentral is "partial 16S ribosomal RNA". It matches the Rfam family "Bacterial small subunit ribosomal RNA", at positions 354 to 796 of the family's 1533-position model. The record is from RNAcentral.